UGUCUAUCCUGAAACUCCUGAGACCAGAUCGAUGACAUAAAGACCACUAAACUGGAGUAUUAUAGAAGUCCCUGCAUCUUACUCUUUCCCAGAGUAAUGAAGAACUUGACUAGCUUGGAUUAGAUAAGACUGAUUCUUGGAAGCACUUGCUGACAGUCCCCGGAGAGGCUCUGCCAU
This is a long non-coding RNA of Mus musculus (house mouse), 177 nucleotides long. RefSeq annotates it as predicted gene, 53724. The transcript is spliced from 3 exons. NCBI's taxonomy places the organism in Eukaryota, Metazoa, Chordata, Mammalia, Rodentia, Muridae. The record is from RefSeq and is a predicted model, not a curated record.